RNAcentral lists this ribosomal RNA (468 nucleotides) under uncultured bacterium. RNAcentral's name for it is "partial 16S ribosomal RNA". It matches the Rfam family "Bacterial small subunit ribosomal RNA", at positions 28 to 507 of the family's 1533-position model. The record is from RNAcentral.
GACGAACGCUGGCGGCGUGCUUAACACAUGCAAGUCGAACGGAAAGGCCCUGCUUUUGUGGGGUGCUCGAGUGGCGAACGGGUGAGUAACACGUGAGUAACCUGCCCUUGACUUUGGGAUAACUUCAGGAAACUGGGGCUAAUACCGGAUAGGAGCUCCUGCUGCAUGGUGGGGGUUGGAAAGUUUCGGCGGUUGGGGAUGGACUCGCGGCUUAUCAGCUUGUUGGUGGGGUAGUGGCUUACCAAGGCUUUGACGGGUAGCCGGCCUGAGAGGGUGACCGGCCACAUUGGGACUGAGAUACGGCCCAGACUCCUACGGGAGGCAGCAGUGGGGAAUAUUGCACAAUGGGCGGAAGUCUGAUGCAGAAACGCCGCGUGCGGGAUGACGGCCUUCGGGUUGUAAACCGCUUUCGCCUGUGACGAAGCGUGAGUGACGGUAAUGGGUAAAGAAGCACCGGCUAACUACGUG